GAUUGUAAUAGAAAGGAUUUGAAUGGAAUGAAAAAGAAUUGAAUGGAAUAGAAUAGAAUGGAAUUAAAUUGAAUGAAAUGGAAUGGAAUAGAAAGGAAUGGAAUGAAAUGGAAUGGAAUGGAAUGGAAUUGAAUUAAAUGUAAUGGAUUUGAAUGGAAUGGAAUUAUAUAGAAUGGAUUUAAAAGUAAUGGUUUCGAAUUGAAUUUAUAGAUAUAGAAUGGAAUUUAAUGGAAUGUAAUUGUAUGGAAUGGAAUAGAAUGGAAUGGAAUUAAAUGGAAUGGAUUAGAAUGUAGUGGAUUGGAAUAAAAUGGAUUUAAUAGUAAUGGAUUGUAAUGUAAUUGAUUCGAUUUCGAAUGGAAUCGUAUGGAAUGUAAUCGAAUGGAAUGG
RNAcentral lists this unclassified non-coding RNA (387 nucleotides) under Hevea brasiliensis (rubber tree). Lineage: Eukaryota; Viridiplantae; Streptophyta; Magnoliopsida; Malpighiales; Euphorbiaceae. The record is from RNAcentral.